This 250-nucleotide unclassified non-coding RNA is filed under the name plant metagenome. Its description in RNAcentral is "partial contains small subunit ribosomal RNA, internal transcribed spacer 1, and 5.8S ribosomal RNA". The record is from RNAcentral.
GUAGCUCCAAGUUACGGGGCGGCGUCUGGCUCCGGCCAGCGCCGAUCCUUCCGCGCAUCACUUGCCGAAGCCUUAGCAGCCCAAAAGGGUGCCGCUCAACGACUAUAACCAUGAGCCGCUGAAAUGCUAGUCUGCGCUCGCUGCAGGCGACACUGUCAAAUUGCGGGGACACCCUAAAGACCUCAACACCAAGCGACCAGGGGAAACCCUGGCGUGGCCGAGCUAACAGCCCUGGGUAUGGUAACAGCUU